AGCAGUAGCCGCGGUAAUACGGAGGAUCCAAGCGUUAUCCGGAAUCAUUGGGUUUAAAGGGUCCGUAGGCGGUCUUGUAAGUCAGUGGUGAAAGCCCAUCGCUCAACGGUGGAACGGCCAUUGAUACUGCAGGACUUGAAUUAUUGGGAAGUAACUAGAAUAUGUAGUGUAGCGGUGAAAUGCUUAGAGAUUACAUGGAAUACCAAUUGCGAAGGCAGGUUACUACCAAUUGAUUGACGCUGAUGGACGAAAGCGUGGGUAGCGAACAGGAUUAGAUACCCCGGUAGUCCCUGUCUCUUAUAC
This 303-nucleotide ribosomal RNA is filed under the name uncultured bacterium. RNAcentral's name for it is "partial 16S ribosomal RNA". It matches the Rfam family "Bacterial small subunit ribosomal RNA", at positions 507 to 807 of the family's 1533-position model. The record is from RNAcentral.